This is a long non-coding RNA of Brienomyrus brachyistius, 1283 nucleotides long. RefSeq lists it as uncharacterized. The transcript has 3 exons. The record is from RefSeq and is a predicted model, not a curated record. NCBI's taxonomy places the organism in Eukaryota, Metazoa, Chordata, Actinopteri, Osteoglossiformes, Mormyridae.
CACUAUAGGGUGGCUAUGGAUCUCACUGGGGUGCAAAUAGGUCUGAAGUUCAGUCUGCGGGUUGGUCUGUUGAUCUCACUGGAGUAUGAAUAGGUCUGAAGUUCAGUCUGCGGGUUGGUCUGUGGAUCUCACUGAGGUGCAAAUAGGUCUGCCGUUCAGUCUGUGGGUUGGUCUGUGGAUCUCACUGGAGUAUGAAUAGGUCUGUAGUUCAGUCUGCGGGUUGGUCUGUGGAUCUCACUGAGGUGCAAAUAGGUCUGUAGUUCAGUCUGCGGGUUGGUCUGUUGAUCUCACUGGAGUAUGAAUAUGUCUGAAGUUCAGUCUGCGGGUUGGUCUGUGGAUCUCACUGAGGUGCAAAUAGGUCUGCCGUUCAGUCUGUGGGUUGGUCUGUGGAUCUCACUGGAGUAUGAAUAGGUCUGCAGUUCAGUCUGUGGGUUGGUCUGUGGAUCUCACUGGAGUAUGAAUAGGUCUGAAGUUCAGUCUGCGGGUUGGUCUGUGGAUCUCAAUGGAGUGCAAAUAGGUCUGCAGUUCUGUCUGUGGUUUGGUCUGUGGCUAGGCUUGCCUGUUGGCCAGGUCUAUCCUCGCCACUCUUAUUCCCCACCCCAUGGCCUAGCGUUCUCAAGAGGUUCUUUAAGUAGGCGGAUUUGUAUCGCCAGUUUAGCCACCGUUUAAAAGUGCUGCUUAAACAGAGCUAAUUCUCCUUUAAUAUCCUGCUUUAAUAUGCAGAGUAAUCCCCACAUGCUGCAUUCUGAGGAUCGUUCCGGUAAGACAUCUUGGAGAUUCUCUGCAGCUCGUGGGGGAGCUCUGUUCUCUCAAGAAGGCUCUUUGCUCUUUUUCUGAUAGCAUAUUUUUCAUCUAAAACUGACACACCUAGCUAAAUGCUGUGAGUCAGCCUCCGAUAAGGCCAGUCAGAGCUGAGGGGGCUGGUAGACUCAGACUGUCUUGUUGUGCAUUUAUUGGUCCUCCUGCCGUUGUCAUGGCAGCUAAUUGGGCAAUAGGUCCAGACAUAAUUAAUGGAUCAAUGAUGUAAUAGCUUUACCUGAUACAAUCUCACGGCAUGAACUAUUAGAUUAAGAUGAGAAACAGUUGAGGGCCUGGCUAGGAUUGUGCAUGCGUGUGUGGCAGUGGAGUGAUGUUUAGUUUGACAAAAAAUAAAAAUGCAGUACUACAUGACGUGAAGAUGAUGUGAGGAAGGGGAGGAGGUUUGCUCGCUGUAAACAUUCGAGUCACGCAAGAUCACUGCCACUGCCUGUGAGACAGAGGGAGUCCAACCAAACGCAGCUCUA